RNAcentral lists this ribosomal RNA (465 nucleotides) under uncultured bacterium. RNAcentral's name for it is "partial 16S ribosomal RNA". It matches the Rfam family "Bacterial small subunit ribosomal RNA", at positions 338 to 795 of the family's 1533-position model. The record is from RNAcentral.
CCUACGGGAGUCAGAAGUGGGGAAUUUUGCGCAAUGCUCGUAAGAGUGACGCAGCGACGCCGCGUGAAUGACGAAGGCCUUCGGGUCGUACAGUUCUUUCGACAGGGAAGAAAAUGCCUAUAAGUAACUGUGUAUGUAUUGACGGUACCUGUAUAAGCAGCCCCGGCUAACUCCGUGCCAGCAGCCGCGGGAAUACGGAGGGGGCGAGCGUUGUUCGGGGUGACUGGCCGUAAAGCGCUCGUCGGCGGUAUGUCAAGUAAAGGGUGAAAUCCCCGCGCUCAACGUGGGAACUGCCUUUGAAACUGGCAAACUGGAGUGUGUGAGAGGAUAGUGGAAUUCCAGGUGUAGGAGUGAAAUCCGUAGAUAUCUGGAGGAACAUCAGUGGCGAAGGCGACUAUCUGGCACAUAACUGACGCUGAGGAGCGAAAGCGUGGGUAGCAAACAGGAUUAGAUACCAGUGUAGUC